GACGAACGCUGGCGGCGUGCUUAACACAUGCAAGUCGAACGGUAAGGCCCUUCGGGGUUACGACGAGUGGCGAACGGGUGAGUAACACGUGGGUGAUCUGCCCUGCACUUCGGGAUAAGCCUGGGAAACUGGGUCUAAUACCGGAUAGGACUCCUGGCUUCAUGGUUGGGGGUGUAAAGCUUUUGCGGUGUGGGAUGGGCCCGCGGCCUAUCAGCUUGUUGGUGGGGUAAUGGCCUACCAAGGCGACGACGGGUAGCCGGCCUGAGAGGGUGACCGGCCACACUGGGACUGAGAUACGGCCCAGACUCCUACGGGAGGCAGC
Molecule: ribosomal RNA, 322 nt
Filed under: uncultured bacterium
Lineage: Bacteria
Description: bacterial SSU rRNA
Rfam family: Bacterial small subunit ribosomal RNA
Source: RNAcentral